RNAcentral lists this ribosomal RNA (112 nucleotides) under Nonomuraea maritima. Its description in RNAcentral is "23S rRNA. Bacterial LSU". It matches the Rfam family "Bacterial large subunit ribosomal RNA", at positions 2815 to 2925 of the family's 2925-position model. The record is from RNAcentral. Lineage: Bacteria; Bacillati; Actinomycetota; Actinomycetes; Streptosporangiales; Streptosporangiaceae.
CACCCUGUGAGGGGGUAAGGCUCCCGGUAGACGACCGGGUUGAUAGGCCGGAGGUGGAAGCGCGGUAACGUGUGGAGCUGACCGGUACUAAUAGGCCGAGGACUUGACCUCA